GACGAACGCUGGCGGCGUGCUUAACACAUGCAAGUCGAACGGAAAGGCCCUGCUUUUGUGGGUUUCUCGAGUUGCGAACGUGUGAGUAACACGUGAGUAACCUGCCCUUUACUUUGUUAUAACUUCAGGAAACUGGGGCUAAUACCGGAUAGGAUCUCCUGCUGCAUGGUGUGGGUUGGAAAGUUUCGGCGGUUGGGGAUGGACUCGCGGCUUAUCAGCUUGUUGGUGGGGUAGUGGCUUACCAAGGCUUUGACGGGUAGCCGGCCUGAGAGGGUGACCGGAGAAAAUGGGACUGAGAGACGGAGCAGAGGACAACGGGAGGCAGCAGGGGGGAAUAUUGCAAAAUGGGCGGAAGCGUGAUGAAGAAACGAGGCGAGGGGGAUGAAGGGCUUAGGGUUGUAAAAAGAUGUAGAAUGAGAAGAAGAGUGAGUGACGGUAAUGGGUAAAGAAGCACCGGCUAAAUACGUG
This 468-nucleotide ribosomal RNA is filed under the name uncultured bacterium. RNAcentral's name for it is "partial 16S ribosomal RNA". It matches the Rfam family "Bacterial small subunit ribosomal RNA", at positions 28 to 507 of the family's 1533-position model. The record is from RNAcentral.